UAUAUUUUAGUAUAGAAGGUACAAAAGUUUUUGAUACUUUAGGCAACGGGUAAUUUCUGUUAAAUAUAA
This 69-nucleotide transfer RNA is filed under the name Hylurgops palliatus. RNAcentral's name for it is "tRNA-Gln". Lineage: Eukaryota; Metazoa; Arthropoda; Insecta; Coleoptera; Curculionidae. The record is from RNAcentral.